GCUGCCAUGAAGCGGGCCGAUCACCUGGAGGAGCUGCUGGAGCAGCGCCGGCGGCCACCCCCGACUGCCCAGUGAAGCCGCCUGCAGGGUGGAGACCGGCCGGAGGUGGCCAGGUCCUGUGGCUGGUGCUUGGGCCGAGUCCUGGCUCUGUGCGGGCUGGGGGCUGCACUCUGGCUGAGGCGCAGCCUGCUGCCCGGUCAGCCCUGUGCUCAGGAUGCCGGGCAGGCUGCCUGUGGCUGUUUUACAGUAAAAGAGGUGGUUUUAGAGUCCUGUGUCACCUGCCUUGUUUUCUCUCCGGGCCGGGGACACUGCAGAGGCCAGGCCUGGCUCUGGCUCCUACCGUGCUCCCCGUCUCCCUCCUCGGCUGUCUAGACUGACCAGGAAAUGGCACGUGCCCAGCAGCCCCUCUGCUCUCAGCACCCCCUGCUGCCCCUGUCUGUUCCCUGCCUUGCCCUGUGGCCCUAAUCCUCAGCUCCGGUGCCCAACUCAGAGAAUGGCCCUCUGUCCUCACCUGGCCUGCGGGAGGCUCCACCCAUCUGGGUGCCUGAAGACCCUGGGUUGCUGUUGUGCCCCUCAUGACUGGAAAGACCCCAGGGGAGCAGGCGGCCCUCUCCCGAGACCCAGCCCCUGUGAGCUGUGCCUGGAGCCCUCUGGAAACGGGGACUGGACAGGCGCCCGAGGAGGGCGGGCACUGCCGAGCCUCACCCUCUGCAGCCUCUGCCUUGGCACAUGAGCUCAGAGCCUGCUCAGUGCCCUUCACCCCGAGGGUUGCCAGCACAGACGGGAAGCCCUCAUGGGCAGGCAGAGUCCUGAAGCGCGUGGAGGGAGAUGGGGGUCUACUCAGCAGGCACCAUCAUCCAGGAUCAGGCCUUGGUGUUGGGAUGCUGCCCAACACUGUCCCAGCGUCGCCAGGGGGCCCACCACCCGAGCCUCACCCUCCUGCCUGCAGUUGGUGUGUAGGACCCCGGCAGCUUUUGUGCAGUGUGGUGCUGCUGGCUGUGGCUGGGGCUGCUCUGAGGGUCCCCCACUGAGGGCCCAGCCAGGCUCAGGACUCCUCUGUCCUGUACCACCUGUGACAGUCUGCGUCCUGGUCACUACUGGAUACAAGCCACGUCUGCUCCUGGUCUAGCCCCUCCCAGAGAAGAACUUGGCUGGUCCCUGAGCUCAGGCUGGCUUGGAGGCUGUGUCUGGCAGAGGGUGCAGACUGCUGGGCCCCUCUGCUCACCAUCUGCAGGACAGGGCUGCUGACCAGAAGGAAGAUCCCGAGCCCUCAGCUACUCCUCCUUCAGGCUGUGGGCCAAAGGUCAGGGCAGGGGCAGCAGAACUGCCACCCAGCAGGACGUGAUAUGUGGAGCUCCUGUGGGAAGGGGUCCCUGAUGUGGUGGGGUGCCCGGAGUGGAAGAGUCUGUGAUCAUGGGCGAGGACGCCCAGAGUCGACCGGAGCCACCCUCGGUUCCUGGACUGUAGAGUGGGUGGGCUACUCCUGAGCCACCUUCCUUUGCGAGGUCCCAGCAGCCACAGCCAUCUCUGUGCACUCAGGUCUUGUGGUGCCCACGUCCCCACAGGGGCUGCAGAACUUUCCUGUGUGUGGACGGAUCACAUUUCGUUUGUCUGCCCCUCUGCUGAUGGACGCCUGGGUGCCGCGUUUCCUCCUGUCCCUGCCUGCAGUGCUUCUGGAGAAUGGCCAGAAGCAGAGGUGCUGGACCCCAUGGAGGGGCCGCUGCUGCGUGGGCCCGUGUCUCCACGUUGCCGCCUUCCGAUCGUAGCCUCCUGUGGGUGUGGGAGGGCCUCAUGGUGGUUUGGUCUGGUGUCCUUGAGACUCGGGAUGCUGAGCGCCUUCCCAGGUGCUUCCUGGCCAUGCCCGUGUCUGCUCUGAGAAGCGUCUCUCAGUUCUUGUCUGUUUUUGAAUCACAUUGCUCGACUUCUGUUGUUGAACUUCAGGAAGUCUCUGUACACUCCCCACUGAUUCCCUGUCAGAUAAACAACUGCAACAUGUUCUCCAGUCUCUCUCUCUUUUUGGGGGUACUGCAGAUUGAACCGAGCCUGCUCUACCACUGGACCACAUCCCCAGUCCUUUUUAUUUUUUAUUUUGAGACAGGGACUCACUAAGUUGCUUAGGU
Molecule: long non-coding RNA, 2120 nt
Organism: Sciurus carolinensis (gray squirrel)
Lineage: Eukaryota; Metazoa; Chordata; Mammalia; Rodentia; Sciuridae
Exons: 4
Source: RefSeq, a predicted model, not a curated record